UACGUAGGGACCAAGCGUUGUUCGGAUUUACUGGGCGUAAAGGGCGCGCAGGCGGUUUGGCAAGUCGGAUGUGAAAACCCGAAGCUCAACUUCGGGCCUGCAUCCGAAACUGCCCGACUAGAGGUAGGUAGGGGAGAUCGGAAUUCCUGGUGUAGCGGUGAAAUGCGCAGAUAUCAGGAGGAACACCGGUGGCGAAGGCGGAUCUCUGGGCCUUACCUGACGCUCAGGUGCGAAAGCUAGGGGAGCGAACAGG
RNAcentral lists this ribosomal RNA (253 nucleotides) under uncultured bacterium. RNAcentral describes it as "partial 16S ribosomal RNA". It matches the Rfam family "Bacterial small subunit ribosomal RNA", at positions 524 to 776 of the family's 1533-position model. The record is from RNAcentral.